UUUUUUUUUUUUUUCUUAUUUAGUUUUUAUUCAUAAUCAUAAACUUAACUUUGCAAUCCAGCUCGACUUGAAGGGGAAUGAGGAAAAUAUGGAACCCAAAGAACUUCAGUGAGAGCAGAGAUUACAGGACAUUGCGAGCAGAUGGGGUAGGGACGCUCUCCUGAGCUACAGAAGGAAUGGUUUGAUGGGUAAAAUGCCCGCAAGUCAAAAGAAAUUAGAGUUGUCCACAGUCGGAAAUGGUGAUCUUCUUGCUGGUCUUGCUGUUCCUGGAUCCAAAACGCUCCAUGACUUCCACAAUGUUCAUGCCUUCUUUCACCUUCCCAAAGACCACAUGCUUGCCAUCCAGCCAUUCAGUCUUGGCAGUGCAGAUAAAAAACUGGGAACCGUUUGUGUUUGGUCCAGCAUUUGCCACGGACAAGAUGCCAGGACCUGUAUGCUUCAGGAUGAAGUUCUCAUCCUCAAAUUCCUCCCCGUAGAUGGACCUGCCGCCAGUGCCAUGUGGUGUGUGACGUCACCACCCUGGCACGUGAAUCCUGGAAUAAUUCUGUGAAAGGAGGAACCCUUAUAGCCAAAUCCUUUCUCUCCAGUGCUCAGAGCUCGAAAGUUUUCUGCUGUCUUUGGAACUUUGUCUGCAAACAGCUCGAAGGAGACUCGGCCCAAGGGCUCGUCAUCGGCUGUGAUGUCGAAGAACACGGUGGGGUUGACCAUGGCCGCAGCAAGCGGCGAAAAGCGACAGUGGCGUCUGCAAAGCCGCCACUGCUUUUUAUAAUGGCGUGAUGGGACAUCUCUUAUUCACAGCACACAGCCAUUGUGUUUUAUGAUGCUCUUCCAUGUGAGAUUUCACUUGAAACAUAGGAAAUUGCUGUGAAGUCAGAACCCAUCCUGGAGUGGGAAGCACAUAUAGGGUUUGCUUGUUUGUUUUUUUCCUCAGCCUCUUUGCUUUUAAACUGAGGACAAUAACUUGCUUUUAUGGGUUGUGGUGAAGACACAAGAGGCAUCAGUAAAUGUCCCCAAGAUUCCAGGUAAUAGAAUUUGGGGCCAGAGGGAAGAAAAGGAAAGAAGUAUAAGGAGAUUAGAGAAUUCAAAGUAGUGCUUAUAAAUUUUAUAGUUUAACUGACCAAGUGGCUUGUGCUUGUGGGAAGCAGCUCUCUCAUACAGAACAAGUGCAUUCUACUGUUUGGGAAUAUUUUUUAUUAAUUUAUUUAUUCAUUGUACAUCCUGAUUGAAGCCCCUCCCUCUUCUCCUAGUUCCACCCUUACAAAUUCCUCCCCUGCUAUGCCCCCCUCUCCUACAAGAAGGAGAAGCUCUCUUUGGUACGGUACCACCCUGCCCUGGGACAUCGUCCUAGCAGACUAAGCACUGGGAAUAGUUCUUGGUAUAGUCAGCAGUGCUUUCUGUUUCUCACCCAAACUCCAAGACCCACAAUUUCUCUUUAACAGAAAGAGUUCUCAAUACACAAAUGGUUUCAUUUAAUUUCUUUUCUGUGUUCUGAAAGGUAGACACUGAUCCCAUGCCCGUAGUAGGUAUGUAGGGUGAUUUCAUUUUGUUUUGGGUUCUAUCAGUGGAACACAGGACCUUUCACAUGAAGCUUCCACUUAACAAGACCCUUAGUCUCUGUGGGUUUUUGUUUGUUUGAGACAGGGUCUCAUUGUAGUUGUGGCUGGCUUGAAAUUCACUUUGUUAGACCAGUCACAUUGAACUUACAGAUAACCUGGGGCUUGUCCUGCAUGUUGGGAUUAAAGGUGUGAACUGCCACGCCUGACUUCACUGUGUGUUUAAGCCUUUAUUUGUUGUGAUUGGAAGGUGUCUUUUGUUUGAUAUUAAAUAUUUUCAAUCUCAGUGUUGAUUUACACACUCUUGAGACAUUUUUGUCCUGUGUUUUAGGAUGUGUGUGGCUAAAAGGUUAUUUUAGUUCUACCAAAUUGAAAGAUGAAUAGUAAAAAAAAAUUUCUGGGUCCUGUUUACUGAGCUCUGAGCAAGUGUUUAUAGUUACUUUUUAAAAUAAUCUUAAAUUAGUGCUAAUGGAACUUUGCAUUGUCAGUCCCAUGUUGGAGGCUUAAGUAUUGAUACAUUAUUUUAAAAGACUUGUUAUGCCGGUGGUGUGAUCUGUGUCAGCAAGGUGACACAUUGUAACUAUUUACACCUAUGCUUCACUCUUCUGCUCUGCUGCCUGCAUCAUCAGACAGGCUUUCUUUAUUACAGCUGUGGUCAGGUUAAUGGCAGCUACUUUUACUUGGAUUGACACAGAAAGCAUCUCUUACGGCUGAAUCUCAUGGCCUUCCCUUAGACUUGAUAUAGCGCCUGCUGAAGUAGCUCUCUCGUGAGGCAGGGCAGACAUGCAAAGCUUCUUUUGUUACUGUCUGAACUUGAAACCUGAUUUCCCAGCACCUGAGACAUUUCCCUAAGUCUACUGUCAUAAGUUUUUAAAGAGCGCAUUAGAUUUCUCUUUAAAUCAUCCCAUGGUUUUUGGUCCUCAAUGGGGAAAAUGGUGUGUAUGUUAGCUAAUAUCUACUGUCCCUUCUAAUUAAGGGAUUUUCUUAUAUUGUACUCAUACUUUGUGUUCUGUAGUAUUUGAAGGUAUCUCAAGAUAAUUUUUAAAAGAGAAGUAUCUUGUUCUACAAGUAAACUUCUCUGCUAAUGUUUGCUUGACCCCCCCCCCCCUUCUCUCUUGCUGCUUUUGAGACAAGGGUCACUAUGUAGCCCUGCCUGGACUGGAACUUUGUCAUACACAGGAUCUCACUCUGCUUGCUGAGUGUUGGAAUUAAAGGUGUCACCAUAUCUGGGCAGCUUUUAAUACUUCCUAAGCAGGCUGACUGUUUUCCUCAGCUGGAGCCUAAGCCUGGUCCAAGGAAGCCAGGCCAUGCACUACCCAUUGCUGAGUGCUAUCCAGCGCGAGUUUACCGCAUAAAGGAACUAAUGUUUCUUACAGGAAGCUGUUCUUUUUUGUUUGUAUUGGCUUCCAGGUUCCCAAUAUUUGGUGGAUACUCAAGAAAUUUGAAUUUUGAGUCGGCUUAGUCUUUCAGCAAAAAACAAAGCAUUUCUCACUCCUUUUUACCUGUGUGCCUUAGGUUUGUUCCUAGCACAGUGCCUGGUCACAGUGUAAUGGUCAGUAAGUAUUUGCUGAAAUAAGCAGCUCCCCAAUGACUCGGUGAGCUUUUGCUUUGACUAGUCACCUGGCAGAAGAGUGAGGUGCUUAUGCCCAGUUUGCUGUGGCGGCCUGAUCCCGUAGUUCUCACACAGAUUGGCAUUAUGUAAUCUUUCCACCAUUGGAGAACAUUUUCUGUGACAGCUGACUCCUUGGUGUGAAUGAAUUUUUCUGUCAGCUGUUGAAGAACUGAGUUGGUGUUUAGAAAAAUGCAGAAAACAUUUGUUCAUCAAACCUAACGAGAUUGGUUAGCAAAAGAGAGGAAGUAUUUAUAGAAAAGGAGUGUUCUGUUUCAGAUCCUUCAUAGCUGUCCAGGCUUGUCCUCACUUCAGGGAUGGAGUAAUUCUUUUGUUAGAUGACUAGAAUCAAAUGUUGUGAGCUGCUUUUCUUUUCACGUUAGAAGAAGGAAUGAUUUGAAACUCAUAAUAAAAGCUAGUUUGCACUUACACCAAAUUGCGUGCCUUCCCUUAUAGGGAGAUCUUAUUCCUCAAGUCUUACUUCACUAGUUCUUAAUACAGUCGAUAAGCAUCUUUGUCUUUGGCAUCUCACAGUAAAAAAAUGCCAUUAUCAACACUGGUUUUGUGAAUAUCCAUAGUACUAAUCUGUUCUGUCUCAUGCUUGUCAUUUUGUUUGUGUGUCGAUGCAGAAGGAAGUAACUGAACUCAUCAAAUGAUUGAAGACAUUUCCAUAUGGGAAAUAGUGUGUGUAUUUUCUGUACAGUUGUAUUCAGAAAUGACAGCUGUUUGCACUAAUAGUCUACAUGUUAAAAGUAAAAGAUCAAGUUAAAACAGGGAUACAUCUUUGUUACCUUUUUCUUGGUUUAGAACUACUGUGUAGCAGUAGGAAGAAUCAAGAAGCGCUUUUCAUUUUGCACAAAUGUUUUUGCAUCUGUGUUUGGUGUUUUUCAUAGAACCACAUUCUUAAUUCAAUAUAUUAUGAAAGUAGGUAGGAAGGUGAAAGGGCAGAUUAAAAAAUGCUGUAGACACAAAGCCAGAAUGAGAAAUGUCACUGUAUUCUCUUCAUUUGGUGGCUGCUCUUACUGGUGAGCUACACAUCAUUGUAAGUUGAUGGGAACGCCCGAGGCAGCCUUUAGCAGGAAGCCAGGCUGCUUGACCCUGCCCUUCCUGCUUUGUAAAUGAUCACUAGCUGCUAAACAUGCAUUAGUGGCCUGGGCCUGGGCCUUUGUGCAUGGGAACUGGGACUGCAGGAGAGGGAACAGAGACCCAGACAGCUUCAGGGAUGAAGCGAUUCUGCUGACUAUGGCUGGUGUGUUCAGUUAGGGGACUGUAGCACUUUCUUCCUUUCAUAGGUUCCUUUGCCGAAGUUGCCUGAUGCUUUCUUUACUAAGCAAGUCAAACCACACUUAUUUACAGUAUAAUGAUCAUUCAUGAGAUUCAGAAAACUACCCCCUUGAGAUGGCCUUUGGGACAAGAGACUGCAGUACCCAGGGACUGCUCUUGCUCACAUGGUGCCCGUGAUUAAUGGUUUGGCAUGAUAACACUGAGAAUCUGGGUCUCAAAGGAGGAUGUAGGCCAGUUCCAGCCUUCAUAACAGACUCCUUCCUGAGGCCCGUGUUUAUUGAUUUGGCAGAGAUCCUCCUGCUUGAGGAAUCAGGCUGGUACCGCCCUUGACCAUACAAAAGAAAUAUAAUAUGCUGAGCACUUGUCUCUCCACAGCUCUCCUUUGAGAGGCGUAGGUGCCAAGCCCUGUUGCUGAAAGGGCACAUCAGGUGGAACACAACAUGCAGUCUGGAGACAGAAUUCUGUGGCAGCAGGAAGUUGCAGCAAGAGGUCACAUAGCAUUUAAACCCUGAAUCCCUGGAGAUUCAGGGAGUGGGCAAGCAUUCAAGCUGAGUGUGGGAGGGACUCAAACUCUUUCUUACAUUUAUAUAAAUGAUUAUAUAAACUGGAGGCUGUGGUUAAUAUCAGAGGCUAGCUGUCUCCAUGUUACUGUUAACACUUGAGACAUUCACAAACCGGGUUUGUUUGGAUGGAUGAAGUAUGGGGGCUGAAGUGAGCUCCUCCUGUGUCAUCUAGCCUCGAUGUAAAUUUGACUUUAAUGUUUAUUGUCUCCACAAUAAAAGGUAGUCUUGAAAGGUAGUGAAGAAAGUAGAUUUCUUUUGUUGAAAGAUUUCAAGCAAUAUAAGAUACAUACCUUGAUAAUUACAAAUUUAUGUUUUUUGUACUGUCUUGAGCCCUGUUUAUAUUUGAUUUGUUCAUUAUUUUUUUUUUCUGACAGCUGGUUUAAAAAUGGAAUAUCUUUCUAUUAGAGCAAAUGCAUAUUGUAAAUUUUGUGUUCAUAGCUUUAGAACACAUGUAUAGACUUAAAUUGAUUUGCGUUGAAGUUAAUGAGUGUCCAAUUAAAAAAAAGACACUGUUGUAUAUAAAAUUCCCAUUAAAGUAGCUUUGGAAAGUUUUGAAAUUAAGAUAGAAAAAAAAUGAAUUGUGCAUAAAAGUUUGAUUCAAAUGUGGUAGCUUGUAAGCAGUUAUUACAGUUAAAUGUUUUUACAGUUUUGUGUCUGGCUAUAUCGCUGUUCUUCAGCCAUGUAAAUGUCCAAAAAAUAGUAAAAACAAACAAACAAACAAACAAACAAACAAACAAACAAACGUCAGCGUUACUUUUCCUUCUUCCCUACGUACACGGCAGGCCCGGUCUCAGCGAUCCUGGGGACCUUUCCUUUCCCAGUCCCUGGUAGCUCAGAUGUGAGGUGAGUGCAGAAGGCCCACGAAGAACUUCUCAUUCUUAUCAUAGAACUUAAAGAAAUCAACUGGCCGGUUUUAAGUGUCGUCUCUUGUGUGAACCUUUCACAUUUCAAAGGUGAAAAAAAGUUUCCAGGUUUGCCUGAGUCAGAGGGCAGAGUUGUGAAUGGAGCCAGAAGGUACUGAACAGGGCAGUGCAGUGUGACAUGGAAAGGGUGGAUGGUCCCAUUUCCCCGUGCGCAGUGCGCAUGGGAGCUAAUUAAGGAUUUAUUAUUGGAAUAUGGCUGACUUCAGGCUUUUUCUGAUAUUUGUGCACAUUUUAUAGCAUUCUUCUUCUACCUGUUAGUAUGUUCAAUAUGCUGUAGCACAGCCCUCACUCUGUUAGAGCUCUGCCUGUAAUCUUGCCACUUGGGGAAGUUGAGGUAGGAUGAUGGCCAUGAGCCUGAGGCCAGCCUAGGCAAGUCUUAGGCUAUCCUAGCUAUAGAGUAGCAUCUUGUCUCAAAUAAGAAAAAAAUAG
RNAcentral lists this long non-coding RNA (6361 nucleotides) under Mus musculus (house mouse). Its description in RNAcentral is "long non-coding RNA chr19:16164097-16170458". The record is from RNAcentral. Lineage: Eukaryota; Metazoa; Chordata; Mammalia; Rodentia; Muridae.